AGGGGCCGGCGGGAGCUGCUCUCGUCGGCUCGGCGGUCGCGGCGCCCGCAGUCUGGAGGCGCACCGGAGCGGCCGGGGCGCCCCCCGCGGGAGCCCGCAGCCACCCGGGACGCGCAUCCAGCCGUGGCGCUUCGGGCCGGGCACACUGCGCCCGGGGGCUCCGCGAACCCAGCGCAGCCGCCGCUUCGGAGCUUGUGCGGCGCGGGCUGGCCAGCGGGGCGGCCAGGGCCAGGCCCGCCUCCCCAGCGCCCGCCCGGCUUCUCCCCCUGGCGGUGGGAGCUUCGGCGGCCGCCGGCGACACUAGGCGCACUGGAGCCCGAGCCGAGCCGAGCCCGAGCCGCCGCCGCCGCCGCCGCCGCUACUGCGCGCUGCUCCCGGGCUCCCUCCCAGCGCGCGGGCCGGGGUGUGGGGGGCGGCGGGCCGGAGGGGCGAGGGCGGGCCAGGGGGCGCGCUUGGGGGUUGGCGCGAAGACCGGACCCUCAGCCGCGAGGGAGCCCCUUGGUGACCAGGCAAAAUGACAGUUCUCUCCAGCUGGUUCUUAGAUGGGCAUAUCUAUUAGCCUCUGCUCUCGGAAGAAGUUAGCUGCAGAAUCCUUAUAGGACUCUGGAGAAGAUCAAAUGGGAGCUUGGAUGUGGAAGCUCUUUGGAAACCAAGAAGCACUCUGUAAAUGAAAAGGACAGAGUCUUGCUCUGUUGCCUGGCUGGAGUGCAGUGGCUCGAUCUCGGUUUCCUUCAAUCUCUACCUCCUGGGUUCAAGCCAUUCUCUUGCCUCAGCCUUCCGAGUAGCUGGGACUACAGUGUAUGGAAAGGGAAUUGAAGAGCAAGCCAAAUAAAGAAAAGAAACUACUACCCAUACAACUUGCAACACGUAUGGCCUGUAUCACCACACAACCUGCGAAUAAUAAGAAAUAUGGGGCCUUGCUAUGAUGUUCAAUUGCUUGGGAUUAUUAAAUGCAUUUUCGACUUUAAGGUAUUUUUAACUUAUGAUGGGUUUAUCAGAAUGUAACCCUAUCAUAUGUUGAGGAGCAUCAGUCAACAUUUCUGUGAUUUGUACUGAUUAUUGUCACAAAUAUUGCUAAUAUCUCUAUGUUCGUUACCUAGAUUCAUAAUUGAAGGCCAUGCUAAAUUUCAGUUAGAGGUUAUGAACGUUCCUGUUUGGCAGUUGAUGGUCCUUUUAAAGAUCUGCAUCAGUUUUUUCUAGCUCAGAUACGGGAUCUUGCUAUGUUUCUCAGGCUGAUCUCAAACUCCUGGCCUCAAGAAAUCCUCUUGUCUUGGCCUCCUAAAGUACUGGGAUUAAGGGUGUGAGCCACCCCGUCUGUCCAGGAUGAAAAGUUUUCAGGAAAAUGAUUUUGUUAAUACCAUGAAAGAUGAAAAGAAAGAAGACAGGACUGGAUGGGGGAAAUCUUUUAAGAGGUAAUUCUUGUGGUCCAGAAGCAUCAUUGUCAUCUAACCUUUUGCAAUGGCAUUAGAGACUGGAAGAGAAGUUCUUUUUACAUCAAUAUCUACUUCUUUUGGAAUAAUUUAUAUCAAUAUAUUUGUUCAUGCCUAUCUCAGAAACCAAAAUGUAGGUCCUCCUCUUUUUAAAAAGAAAUUAUAUAUAUAUAUAUAUAUAAACAAACCAGGUAUUAGACUUCUGAAAAGAUAAAUACAUCUUUACUCACAUCUCAACCUGGACUAUAUUUGAAAUCAUAAAGCUUCUUGAUUUCUAAGAUGAUAUAAAGUGAUAGAUUUUUGAGUGAAUGUAGGGAAAAACUAUUUGAAGUCUUUAUGCUUUCUGAGUUCAAUAAGUAGUUUUCCAUUUGAAAUAUGUACAUGUUUUGCCCUUCCCUAUGUGUUCAUCUUCCUACCUGAACAAUAUUUGUUUGCCAAGGGUAUAAAGCCUGUGCAAUGAUAGCUUUACAGGCAGAUGGUAGGUUCAGUCUGAUUGCACUGAAUGAAGUGCAGUGAUUUGCACUCACUCUUUCAUAAGAUAUUAAUUUUGGAGGUUAUUGGAAUAAACCCUAUACAUUAUAUAGAUUUGUCACUUUUAUCUAUUUAAAAAUAUCUGUUUUUAUUACCUUUUGACUAUUUUCUCACUGUGCUAAAUAUUAAACUACCUCUUCCUUAUUUAGUCAUUAUUUUAAGGAGCUAUGAGUUUCAUGUGCCACCUUUUUAAUUUAAUUGAUUAAAAGCAAAACUAAUUUUCUUAAUCACAGUUUGCUUGGCAUUACACAGCCCAACUUGCAGGCAGAGAAAAGAAUACAAAACAAAUAAGCAAUCUGUACUUAAAAAUAAGUUUUGGACAGUAAAAACAAAUGGAAAAUUGUACUCAAGAAAGCCAUGCUAAUUAAGUGGCGGAGUUGUAUUUUUAAUGAAUAAAUCAAUGAAAGAAAAUAUCUUAUGAUAUCAGGGGGUGAGGCAGUUGGGAGAGGGGCAUUUCAGAGAAAAGCCUCUGGAGGAGAUGGAGUCUGAGUUGAGUGUCUAGGGAAAGCAGUAUUUUGUUAGGUGAAGAAGGUAUAGGGAAGCCAUUUCAGUCAGGGAAAACAGAGUCUACAAAGCAGGGAUGCAAGAGAGAACAUUUGAAACACUUGCCGUUGUUAAAUGCAAUGACAUUUCAGAUAUGCCAUUUUCACUCAGAGAAAAAUAAGCAAAAUUGAGAUGCCAAGUUUGGAAAAUUGAUAUCCCAUUUCACAUCUGAAUUAUUGAGAAAUCCUUAAACACAAAAUGUGCAUUCCUCUGCUGUUUUUGAAAACUAAAUGUUUGAACAUUACCUCUUUUGCUGAAAGUAAACACUUUAUAAUGAACCAAA
Non-coding RNA from Callithrix jacchus (white-tufted-ear marmoset), 2787 nucleotides. The record is from RefSeq and is a predicted model, not a curated record. Lineage: Eukaryota; Metazoa; Chordata; Mammalia; Primates; Cebidae.